Molecule: ribosomal RNA, 488 nt
Filed under: uncultured bacterium
Lineage: Bacteria
Description: bacterial SSU rRNA
Rfam family: Bacterial small subunit ribosomal RNA
Source: RNAcentral
GAUGAACGCUAGCGGCAGGCUUAAUACAUGCAAGUCGAGGGGCAGCAUGAGUGUAGCAAUACAUUUGAUGGCGACCGGCAAACGGGUGCGGAACACGUACACAACUUUCCUAUAAGUGGGGAAUAGCCCAGAGAAAUUUGGAUUAAUACCCCGUAACAUAAUGAUGUGGCAUCACAUUAUUAUUAUAGCUUCGGCGCUUAUUGAUGGGUGCGCGGCUGAUUAGAUAGUUGGCGGGGUAACGGCCCACCAAGUCUACGAUCAGUAGCUGAUGUGAGAGCAUGAUCAGCCACACGGGCACUGAGACACGGGCCCGACUCCUACGGGAGGCAGCAGUAAGGAAUAUUGGUCAAUGGACGCAAGUCUGAACCAGCCAUGCCGCGUGAAGGAUGAAGGUCCUCUGGAUUGUAAACUUCUUUUAUCUGGGACGAAAAAAGGGAAUUCUUUCUCACUUGACGGUACCAGAGGAAUAAGCACCGGCUAACUCCGUG